UCCUCUGUGGCGCAAUUGGCUAGCGCGUCUGACUGUUAAUCAGAUCAUAAUCUAACAUUGCACAGUGGAAGUUCGAGCCUUCCCGGAGGAG
RNAcentral lists this transfer RNA (91 nucleotides) under Cyphellophora europaea CBS 101466. RNAcentral describes it as "tRNA-Asn (GTT) (tRNA-Asn-GTT-1-1)". It matches the Rfam family "tRNA". Rfam says of the family: Transfer RNA (tRNA) molecules are approximately 80 nucleotides in length. Their secondary structure includes four short double-helical elements and three loops (D, anti-codon, and T loops). The record is from RNAcentral. Lineage: Eukaryota; Fungi; Ascomycota; Eurotiomycetes; Chaetothyriales; Cyphellophoraceae.